This 656-nucleotide ribosomal RNA is filed under the name uncultured bacterium. Its description in RNAcentral is "bacterial SSU rRNA". It matches the Rfam family "Bacterial small subunit ribosomal RNA", at positions 60 to 676 of the family's 1533-position model. The record is from RNAcentral.
AGUCGAGCGAGUCUGCCUUGAAGAUCGGAGUGCUUGCACUCUGUGAAACAAGAUACAGGCUAGCGGCGGACGGGUGAGUAACACGUGGGUAACCUGCCCAAGAGAUCGGGAUAACACCUGGAAACAGAUGCUAAUACCGGAUAACAACAGAUGAUGCCUAUCAACUGUUUAAAAGAUGGUUCUGCUAUCACUCUUGGAUGGACCUGCGGUGCAUUAGCUAGUUGGUAGGGUAACGGCCUACCAAGGCGAUGAUGCAUAGCCGAGUUGAGAGACUGAUCGGCCACAUUGGGACUGAGACACGGCCCAAACUCCUACGGGAGGCAGCAGUAGGGAAUCUUCCACAAUGGACGCAAGUCUGAUGGAGCAACGCCGCGUGAGUGAAGAAGGGUUUCGGCUCGUAAAGCUCUGUUGUUGGUGAAGAAGGACGGGGGUAGUAACUGACCUUUGUUUGACGGUAAUCAAUUAGAAAGUCACGGCUAACUACGUGCCAGCAGCCGCGGUAAUACGUAGGUGGCAAGCGUUGUCCGGAUUUAUUGGGCGUAAAGCGAGUGCAGGCGGUUCGAUAAGUCUGAUGUGAAAGCCUUCGGCUCAACCGGAGAAUUGCAUCAGAAACUGUCGAGCCUGAGUACAGAAGAGGAGAGUGGAACUCCAUGUGU